Molecule: ribosomal RNA, 440 nt
Filed under: uncultured bacterium
Lineage: Bacteria
Description: partial 16S ribosomal RNA
Rfam family: Bacterial small subunit ribosomal RNA
Source: RNAcentral
CCUACGGGAGGCAGCAGUGGGGAAUAUUGCACAAUGGGGGAAACCCUGAUGCAGCGACGCCGCGUGAGUGAAGAAGUCCUUCGUUAUUUAAAGCUCUAUCAGCAGGGAAGAAAAUGACGGUACCUGAGUAAGAAGCCCCGGCUCACUACGUUCCAGCAGCCGCGGUAAUACGGAGGGGGCAAGCGUUAUCCGGAUUUACUGGGUGUAAAGGGAGCGUAGACGGCAGUGUAAGUCUGGAGUGAAAGGUGGGGGCUCAACCCCCGGACUGCUCUGGAAACUGUACGGCUGGAGUGCAGGAGAGGUAAGUGGAAUUCGUGGUGUAGCGGUGAAAUGCGUAGAUAUUAGGAGGAACACCAGUGGCGAAGGCGGCUUACUGGACUGUAACUGACGUUGAGGCUCGAAAGCGUGGGGAGCAAACAGGAUUAGAUACCCUUGUAGUC